AGCUCCAAUAGCGUAUAUUAAAGUUGUUGCAGUUAAAAAGCUCGUAGUUGGAUUUGUGGAUUUUGCGAGUCGGUCGCACUAAUUGUGUGUACAUGAUUCGUAGGUCCAUCCUUGGGUGGAAUCUGUGUGGCAUUAGGUUGUCGUGCAGGGGAUGCCCAUCGUUUACUGUGAAAAAUUAGAGUGUUCAAAGCAGGCUUAUGCCGUUGAAUAUAUUAGCAUGGAAUAAUAAGAUAGGACCUUGGUACUAUUUUGUUGGUUUGCGCACCGAGGUAAUGAUUAAUAGGGACAGUUGGGGGUAUUCGUAUUCCAUUGUCAGAGGUGAAAUUCUUGGAUUUCUGAAAGACGAACUACUGCGAAAGCAUUUACCAAGGAUGUUUUCA
Molecule: ribosomal RNA, 380 nt
Filed under: uncultured eukaryote
Lineage: Eukaryota
Description: SSU rRNA
Rfam family: Eukaryotic small subunit ribosomal RNA
Source: RNAcentral